This 77-nucleotide transfer RNA is filed under the name Candidatus Paraimprobicoccus trichonymphae. RNAcentral describes it as "tRNA-His". It matches the Rfam family "tRNA". Rfam says of the family: Transfer RNA (tRNA) molecules are approximately 80 nucleotides in length. Their secondary structure includes four short double-helical elements and three loops (D, anti-codon, and T loops). Further hydrogen bonds mediate the characteristic L-shaped molecular structure. tRNAs have two regions of fundamental functional importance: the anti-codon, which is responsible for specific mRNA codon recognition, and the 3' end, to which the tRNAs corresponding amino acid is attached (by aminoacyl-tRNA synthetases). tRNAs cope with the degeneracy of the genetic code in two manners: having more than one tRNA (with a specific anti-codon) for a particular amino acid; and 'wobble' base-pairing, i.e. permitting non-standard base-pairing at the 3rd anti-codon position. The record is from RNAcentral. Lineage: Bacteria; Bacillati; Bacillota; Clostridia.
GUGGAUAUAGCUCAGCUGGUUAGAGCGCCAGAUUGUGGCUCUGGAGGUCGUCGGUUCGAUUCCGAUUAUCUACCCCA